Molecule: ribosomal RNA, 372 nt
Filed under: uncultured organism
Description: bacterial SSU rRNA
Rfam family: Bacterial small subunit ribosomal RNA
Source: RNAcentral
CGGAGGGUGCAAGCGUUGCUCGGAAUUAUUGGGCGUAAAGGGUAGGUAGGUGGUCUCGUUUGUCUGAGGUGAAAGCCCUGGGCUUAACUCAGGAAGUGCCUCAGAAACGGCGAGACUGGAGUCCUGGAGAGGGUCGUGGAAUUCCCGGUGUAGCGGUGAAAUGCGUAGAGAUCGGGAGGAGCACCAGAGGCGAAGGCGGCGACCUGGACAGGAACUGACACUCAACUACGAAAGCGUGGGGAUCAAACAGGAUUAGAUACCCUGGUAGUCCACGCUGUAAACGAUCGGUACUAGAUUAGGCGGGUCUUAACCCCUGCCGAGUCGGAGCUAACGCGAUAAGUACCGCGCCUGGGGAGUACGGUCGCAAGACUA